This 421-nucleotide ribosomal RNA is filed under the name uncultured bacterium. RNAcentral's name for it is "partial 16S ribosomal RNA". It matches the Rfam family "Bacterial small subunit ribosomal RNA", at positions 360 to 773 of the family's 1533-position model. The record is from RNAcentral.
AAUAUUGGACACUGGGGGCAACCCUGCUCCAGCCAUGCCGCGUGUGUGAAGAACGUCUUCGGAUUGUAAAGCACUUUAAGUUGGGAGGACGGGCUUUCGGUUAAUACCCUGAGGUUCUGACGUUACCCACAGAAUAAGCACCGGCCAACUCUGUGCCAGAAGCCGCGGUAAUACAGCGGGUGCAAGCGUUAAUCGGAAUUACUGGGCGUAAAGCGCGCGUAGGUGGUUCAGUAAGAUGGGUGUGAAAUCCCCGGGCUUAACCUGGGAACUGCUUUCAUAACUGCUGAGCUAGAGUACGGUAGAGGGUAGUGGAAUUUCCUGUGUAGCGGUGAAAUGCGUAGAUAUAGGAAGGAACACCAGUGGCGAAGGCGACUACCUGGACUGAUACUGACACUGAGGUGCGAAAGCGUGGGGAGCAAAC